Molecule: long non-coding RNA, 1696 nt
Organism: Cottoperca gobio
Lineage: Eukaryota; Metazoa; Chordata; Actinopteri; Perciformes; Bovichtidae
Source: Ensembl
CAACAGUAUAUAAAUGAUCAAAAACUAAUAGUACAACUACUUCUGUACUUUAACUUAAGUAGGAUUUUAAACACACAAUUGUUACACAAUACACAAUACUUUCAGCCAAGUAGUAAUCUUUUUUUUUUUUUAACUUUUAUUAGCAAUUAUUAGAAUUUAGUGUAAUAAACAGUUGGUUCAAUAGUUAAUAGUUAAGAAUAAAACUACUUUUGUAUUUGCAAUGUACGGUAGGUCACUCACACAACUGGCAACAGCAUGGCAGGACCUGUAGGGGGCGCUGGAGACCAUUUGUGGAGAUAAAGAAAUAACUCCUCGUUAGCUCACAGGCCGUAACGACUUGUCAAUUAGUUUGUUCACAAACUUGUGUUGUUGUUGCUGCUGCAUACUGUUUGUGGAGUAACCGAAACUGAAUGAAAUAUAACAGUAAAAUGACAAAACAGUUUAUUUAAAUCCCACAUAGUCCAGGUAACCAAGCCAGGAUAUGAAAUAGGAAAUGUGGCACACAUGCGGUUUUCGGAAAUCUAGCCGAGGCUGUCAAAACACCCGCACAAAGUCCAGCCUCAUGUCUGCCCACCGGGCCUGGCGUCGCGGCGGACAAUGACCUGUGUUUCCCCGGCACACAGUGCUCUCUGUGUCCGCUGGAGCUCCCCCCCCCCCCAGCCCCUCUCUAAUGGAGGUGAUUGGCCGUGUUCAGCACAGCACGCCCGCCGCUGCGUGUGAUUAAUCAACGGAGCGGAGAGAGGCGGCAGGCCGACAGGGACCCCGGGCAGCCAUGACGCCUCGGGUCCUCAUCUGUCGGUAGAGUUGAGAAAAGUCAUCAUCCGUCACAUCUGGUUUACAUUAAGGCAGAGCUGUCCAAAAUGGAGGAUAUCGCUCCAAUGUGGUGCUGACCUCUCCUUGUGUGUACUCAUAAGCGUGCUGUGGAUGGUGAGAUUGGGAAUUUCAUAUGCUGGGAGCUGUAUGUGGGGAUCAGCAAACGGUGAAACUGCAGCCUGGGAAGUUCACGGUGCUUUGAUGGAGCCAGAAUUCCAGGAGCUUUCCGUAAUCGUGGGAUGAGGCUGUGUCAUCCCUGUCACUCACCUGGAUUUAUCAGCAGGAAAUCUGGAAAUGAGACGGCAUUCCUGCCCCCUUCAGGAACUCAGACGGGUCGAACAGCAGACAAAGAGGGCCACAGUCACAGAUGAGAUGUGAUUUGACACUGAGCAGACUGCUGCUAUCUCACGCUUUGUCAAAAUAUAUCAUCUUUCAAGAUAUGUUUUGUAUUCUCAACCAAACUACAGAGAGAGUUUUGUUCAAAUAAACCCCUCGUAGAUCACAGUGAUUAAAAACCUGUUUGUAAAAAGCAGACCCUCUCCAGGCAGCAGCCGCCGCACACCCCUCGGGGCGGACCAGUGAACUAUGUACAACCCCCUACUAUUGAUGUUGACAUGUUCACUGACCUAGUCUAUCAACACACACACACACACAUACACACACACGCAUAAUUGGUCUGGCCUUUCCGUGCUAACUGGCGCUGAUAUCAUCUGUGUCGUUUGAUACGCUCUGAUCUGACCCCAGUGUCUCGGCUGCCCUCUGGUUCUGUACGCACCCAUCAGAGCACAAGACCCCGAGUGGGCUCGCUGACCCUGAGAUGAGCUUCUCUCUUCAGGACCCUGCAGGACCAGAGAGCACUUCUUUCAUUUAUGGGAUGUACGAG